This is a long non-coding RNA of Dermochelys coriacea (leatherback sea turtle), 373 nucleotides long. RefSeq lists it as uncharacterized. The transcript has 3 exons. The record is from RefSeq and is a predicted model, not a curated record. NCBI's taxonomy places the organism in Eukaryota, Metazoa, Chordata, Testudines, Dermochelyidae.
CACAGUGUUCCCUCUAAUUUUUUCCAUCCAUGUGGGGAAUAAAUUUUGUUAUGUGCACUGAGGUAUGUGUGGAUGUGCGCCACCGGUAGAAACAAAAAACCUAGGUAUAAUAUAUAUUUUUAAAAAGUGGCCAUCGGGAUAAUUACUCCAGCCAGAACAGAUUAAGCAUUUUAGAACUCACUACUCAAAGAAUUCAAUUUAAGUGUAAGAGAAAUAAAAAUUAUGAAAUGCAUAGACCAGUCAAAGCACUAAAAUAACACACUUCAAAAGAAUAAAAUUACAGAUAAUAUGUGUGCAUUGCAGGAAAUACCAAGAAGUAACAACAACAAUAAUACAAGUAUGUGUUGGAAGGUGAGUGUAAGACAGAGAAACA